UUGAGAUUGUUUAGAGGGUGACAUGAUGGUUGACAAGAUACCAUCUGUGGAGAACUUGAUAGAUCCCUUUACCAAGACAUUGACAAAGAGAUCUUGUGUUGGUAAUAGGGAUAGCAUGGGGUUCAGAUGAGUAUAUGACAUGCUUUAUAGGCAUGAUGCUUAGAGGGCUAGUGAGAGAAUGUUAGGAUAGAGCCUUUAAAACCAUAAAAUGAUGUAAUAAAUUUGGAAUUCAUUAUUUAUUUAAUGAUGUUCAAGUUUCACUUUUAUUUAUCCUUAUUCCAUGUAUUAUAAGCAUUCUUGUC
This 302-nucleotide long non-coding RNA is filed under the name Vitis vinifera (wine grape). Its description in RNAcentral is "long non-coding RNA (VVIN_LNC004191)". The record is from RNAcentral. Lineage: Eukaryota; Viridiplantae; Streptophyta; Magnoliopsida; Vitales; Vitaceae.